Molecule: ribosomal RNA, 892 nt
Filed under: Crepidotus stenocystis
Lineage: Eukaryota; Fungi; Basidiomycota; Agaricomycetes; Agaricales; Crepidotaceae
Description: LSU rRNA
Rfam family: Eukaryotic large subunit ribosomal RNA
Source: RNAcentral
UUCCCCUAGUAACUGCGAGUGAAGCGGGAAAAGCUCAAAUUUGAAAUCUGGCAGUCUUUGAUUGUCCGAGUUGUAAUCUAGAGAAGUGUUACCCGCGUUGGACCGUGUAUAAGUCUCCUGGAAUGGAGCGUCAUAGAGGGUGAGAAUCCCGUCUUUAACACGGACUCCCAAGGCUUUGUGGUGCGCUCUCAAAGAGUCGAGUUGUUUGGGAAUGCAGCUCAAAAUGGGUGGUAAAUGCCAUCUAAAGCUAAAUACAGGCGAGAGACCGAUAGCGAACAAGUACCGUGAGGGAAAGAUGAAAAGAACUUUGGAAAGAGAGUUAAACAGUACGUGAAAUUGCUGAAAGGGAAACGCUUGAAGUCAGUCGCGUUGGCUGGGAAUCAACCUUGCUUUUGCUUUGGUGUACUUUCUAGUCGACGGGUCAACAUCAAUUUUGACCGGUGGAUAAGGUCAGAGGGAAUGUGGCAUCUUCGGAUGUGUUAUAGCCCUUUGUCACAUACAUUGGUUGGGAUUGAGGAACUCAGCACGCCGMAAGGCCGGGUUUCGACCACGUACGUGCUUAGGAUGUUGGCAAAAUGGCUUUAAUCGACCCGUCUUGAAACACGGACCAAGGAGUCUAACAUGCCUGCGAGUGUUUGGGUGGAAAACCCGAGCGCGUAAUGAAAGUGAAAGUUGAGAUCCCUGUCGUGGGGAGCAUCGACGCCCGGACCAGACCUUUUGUGACGGAUCCGCGGUAGAGCAUGUAUGUUGGGACCCGAAAGAUGGUGAACUAUGCCUGAAUAGGGUGAAGCCAGAGGAAACUCUGGUGGAGGCUCGUAGCGAUUCUGACGUGCAAAUCGAUCGUCAAAUUUGGGUAUAGGGGCGAAAGACUAAUCGAACCAUCUAGUAGCUG